CUAGCCCCGGAGUUAGCGGAUCUCCGUUGACUUGCAACAUAGUAUAAUCCAAGGCCAGGAGAACAGCGACUAAAUGAAAUGUUUUAUUCAUAAAAGAACCUUGGAACAGACCACGAGACUGACAUCACUAACUACGUAAAAUGAUGCCCAAGCCCCCCCUUUCCACCGAGUAAGCCUCGUGCUAAAGAGCAAUGGCGACGAC
Pelobates cultripes (western spadefoot toad) is the source of this 202-nucleotide non-coding RNA. The record is from the annotation of a GenBank genome assembly. Lineage: Eukaryota; Metazoa; Chordata; Amphibia; Anura; Pelobatidae.